GAUGAACGCUAGCUACAGGCUUAACACAUGCAAGUCGCAGGUACUGGCGCACGGGUGAGUAAUAUAUAGCUAAUCUGCCCCUUGCUGGAGGACAACAGUUAGAAAUGACUGCUAAUACUCCAUAGCAAGGGAUGAGACUAUAUCGUAUCAGCUAGUCGGUGGGGUAACGGCCUACCGAGGCUAUGACGCGUAACUGGUCUGAGAGGAUGAUCAGUAACAUUGGAACUGAGACACGGUCCAAACUCCUACGGGAGUCAGCAGUAGGGAAUAGUGCGCAAUGGGGGAAACCCUGACGCAGCAACGCCGCGUGGAGGAUGACACGUUUCGGAGCGUAAACUCCUUUUGUUAGGGAAGCGGUACCUAACGAAUAAGCACCGGCUAACUCCGUGCCAGCAGCCGCGGUAAUUC
Molecule: ribosomal RNA, 408 nt
Filed under: uncultured bacterium
Lineage: Bacteria
Description: partial 16S ribosomal RNA
Rfam family: Bacterial small subunit ribosomal RNA
Source: RNAcentral